RNAcentral lists this RNase P RNA (383 nucleotides) under Cellvibrio sp. Its description in RNAcentral is "RNase P RNA component class A". It matches the Rfam family "Bacterial RNase P class A". From Rfam's summary of the family: Ribonuclease P (RNase P) is a ubiquitous endoribonuclease, found in archaea, bacteria and eukarya as well as chloroplasts and mitochondria. Its best characterised activity is the generation of mature 5'-ends of tRNAs by cleaving the 5'-leader elements of precursor-tRNAs. The record is from RNAcentral. Lineage: Bacteria; Pseudomonadati; Pseudomonadota; Gammaproteobacteria; Cellvibrionales; Cellvibrionaceae.
GGAGUCGGCCCGACAGUCGCUCUGGUGUUAACUGAAUAACUCUCUUGAGUGUUGUUUGGUGCAUCGGGGAGGAAAGUCCGGGCUCCAUAGGGCAGAGUGCCAGGUAACGCCUGGGAGGCGCGAGCCUACGGAAAGUGCAACAGAGAGUAGACCGCCUAAGCAUUCGCAAGAGUGCCGGUAAGGGUGAAAGGGUGCGGUAAGAGCGCACCGCGCAACUGGUAACAGGCUGCGGCAUGGUAAACCCCACUCGGAGCAAGACCAAAUAGGAAUCCAUUGGUGCGGCCCGCAUCGGAUUCGGGUAGGUUGCUUGAGGCUAACGGUGACGUUAGUCCCAGAUGAAUGACUGUCCACGACAGAACCCGGCUUACAGGCUGACUCCGUUU